This 488-nucleotide ribosomal RNA is filed under the name uncultured bacterium. RNAcentral's name for it is "partial 16S ribosomal RNA". It matches the Rfam family "Bacterial small subunit ribosomal RNA", at positions 29 to 523 of the family's 1533-position model. The record is from RNAcentral.
AAUGAACGCUGGCGGCAGGCCUAACACAUGCAAGUCGAGCGGGGUUUUCGGACCUAGCGGCGGACGGGUGAGUAAUGCGUAGGAAGCUGCCCGAUAGAGGGGGAUACCAGUUGGAAACGACUGUUAAUACCGCAUAAUGUCUACGGACCAAAGUGUGGGACCUUCGGGCCGCAUGCUAUCGGAUGCGCCUACGUGGGAUUAGCUAGUUGGGGAGGUAAUGGCUCACCAAGGCGACGAUAUCUAGCUGGUUUGAGAGGAUGAUCAGCCACACUGGAACUGAGACACGGUCCAGACUCCUACGGGAGGCAGCAGUGGGGAAUAUUGGACAAUGGGCGCAAGCCUGAUCCAGCCAUGCCGCGUGUGUGAAGAAGGCCUUCGGGUUGUAAAGCACUUUCAGCGAGGAGGAAGGGUUAGUCGUUACUAGCGGCUAAUUUUGACGUUACUCGCAGAAGAAGCACCGGCUAACUCUGUGCCAGCCGCCGCCGUAA